Nylanderia fulva is the source of this 807-nucleotide non-coding RNA. Lineage: Eukaryota; Metazoa; Arthropoda; Insecta; Hymenoptera; Formicidae. The record is from RefSeq and is a predicted model, not a curated record.
UUCCCUCUAUAAUCUGUAAUCAACCUCGCUGACACAUCUCAUAAUCUAUACAAAGACGUGCGUGUCGAAAGUUCAGUGUUCAGUGCAAAUAUUCUUUAUCAGUGAUUCUUUAUCAGUAUAUAAUGGAAGAGAAUAAGCGAGACGAGGAGAUUAUAAACAAAAACAUCGAGGAAAAAAACCUACGUUAAUAUUGAUGUUCAGACCGAGAAGGAGCCAUCUGCGGAUGUCGCAAUGUGGCAUAUGAUAGAGACGGGAAUGGGGCUGAAAAUUCCCAUAUAUUUAAAAAAUUUCUUGCGAUUUGAAGGAUAUGACACACCCAUCACCAUACAGAAUAUAUCAACAGAAAAUAUUGAAGAGUUGGAACUUUUUGGCAGGAAUGAAAUGUUCAAGUUCAUAAAAAAAGACGAGAAUUACUACAAUUAUUUCGACAAAUAUUAUUGCUGUCCUAGAAAAACCUCGGAAAAAUUUAUCAAGCAAGUAAAUCUCAAGAUGAAGACUCGCCGAGUUCCUCGCAACAUAUCAAUAGUGGAUCCGAUAUUAAUUUGAACACGGAGCACGAUAGUAUUUAUGCUUUAAUAAUGACAUGGUUGAAAAACCAAAUCAAAGUAAAUAAGCAAGUCGAAAAGCAAGUUGUCAAGAAUUUUUUGCCUGCUUCUGUGGAAAUGGCUAUCGUUGAAGAAAAAAUAAAUAUUGUACGUAAAUUAUCUUUUCCUAAUAUUGAUGCCAAAGGAUUUUAUUUAUUCUCUCCACAGGAACUUGCAACUUACAAUUUAGGAUAAGUUUUAAAUAAUAUUAUUUUUUAUUUUG